This 587-nucleotide ribosomal RNA is filed under the name Burkholderiales bacterium StRD464. Its description in RNAcentral is "bacterial SSU rRNA". It matches the Rfam family "Bacterial small subunit ribosomal RNA", at positions 102 to 685 of the family's 1533-position model. The record is from RNAcentral. Lineage: Bacteria; Pseudomonadati; Pseudomonadota; Betaproteobacteria; Burkholderiales.
ACGGGUGAGUAAUAUAUCGGAACGUGCCCAGUUGUGGGGGAUAACUGCUCGAAAGAGCAGCUAAUACCGCAUACGACCUGAGGGUGAAAGCGGGGGAUCGCAAGACCUCGCGCAAUUGGAGCGGCCGAUAUCACAUUAGGUAGUUGGUGGGGUAAAGGCCUACCAAGCCGACCAUCUGUAGCUGGUCUGAGAGGACGACCAGCCACACUGGGACUGAGACACGGCCCAGACUCCUACGGGAGGCAGCAGUGGGGAAUUUUGGACAAUGGGGGCAACCCUGAUCCAGCCAUGCCGCGUGCGGGAAGAAGGCCUUCGGGUUGUAAACCGCUUUUGUCAGGGAAGAAAAGACUCCUACUAAUACUGGGGGUUCAUGACGGUACCUGAAGAAUAAGCACCGGCUAACUACGUGCCAGCAGCCGCGGUAAUACGUAAGGUGCAAGCGUUAAUCGGAAUUACUGGGCGUAAAGCGUGCGCAGGCGGUUAUGCAAGACAGAUGUGAAAUCCCCGGGCUCAACCUGGGAACUGCAUUUGUGACUGCAUGGCUAGAGUACGGUAGAGGGGGAUGGAAUUCCGCGUGUAGCAGUGAA